CCUACGGGCGGCUGCAGUGGGGAAUAUUGGACAAUGGGCGAAAGCCUGAUCCAGCCAUGCCGCGUGUGUGAAGAAGGCCUUCGGGUUGUAAAGCACUUUCAGUGGGGAAGAAAGCCUUGGGGCUAAUACCCUCGAGGAAGGACAUCACCCACAGAAGAAGCACCGGCUAACUCCGUGCCAGCAGCCGCGGUAAUACGGAGGGUGCGAGCGUUAAUCGGAAUUACUGGGCGUAAAGCGCGCGUAGGCGGUCUGAUAAGCCGGUUGUGAAAUCCCCGGGCUCAACCUGGGAACGGCAUCCGGAACUGUCAGGCUAGAGUGCAGGAGAGGAAGGUAGAAUUCCCGGUGUAGCGGUGAAAUGCGUAGAGAUCUGGAGGAAUACCAGUGGCGAAGGCGGCCUUCUGGACUGACACUGACGCUGAGGUGCGAAAGCGUGGGUAGCAAACAGGAUUAGAUACCCCUGUAGUC
RNAcentral lists this ribosomal RNA (465 nucleotides) under Vreelandella stevensii. RNAcentral describes it as "partial 16S ribosomal RNA". It matches the Rfam family "Bacterial small subunit ribosomal RNA", at positions 338 to 795 of the family's 1533-position model. Lineage: Bacteria; Pseudomonadati; Pseudomonadota; Gammaproteobacteria; Oceanospirillales; Halomonadaceae. The record is from RNAcentral.